This is a non-coding RNA of Podarcis lilfordi (Lilford's wall lizard), 73 nucleotides long. NCBI's taxonomy places the organism in Eukaryota, Metazoa, Chordata, Lepidosauria, Squamata, Lacertidae. The record is from the annotation of a GenBank genome assembly.
GCUGGGAUAGCUCAGUUGGAAGAGCAUGAGACUCUUAAUUCCAGAGUCGUGAGUUCAAGCCCCACAUUGAGCA